Molecule: long non-coding RNA, 8390 nt
Filed under: Homo sapiens (human)
Lineage: Eukaryota; Metazoa; Chordata; Mammalia; Primates; Hominidae
Description: HSALNT0155358
Source: RNAcentral
UCUGACUCAUAUUUUAAAAUCUCUCUUUGGUUGCUGUGUAAACAACAGACUGGAGAGAGGCCAAGAGCACAAGCAGAAAAACCAGCCAGGGUGCUAUUUCAGCAGUCUAGGUGGAGAGUCAUGGUGACUUGGACCCAUCCAACAGAGACGAAGACAACUAAAUGGAUUCAGGAUAUAUUCUAGAGAUAAUACAGAAAAUCACCUCUAUUUCAUAAUGAGACUACUGAGACAAGUUAUGUGGAAAACUAUUCUGCUUAGCAAACCCCACUUUGAUGCUCUCUCUUCUGUAGAUCUAGAGAUAACGAGUCCUAACUCUUUGCCAAGGAUAUGGCAAAGACUCUGAUGGAAAAGGCAGUAAUGUGUACACAAAGGUGAACAUAAAUAAAUGUGUGUAUGAUAAACGCUGGGAAUGGACAUAGAAAAACGGGUAUGCAAUUGGACAGAGACGACGGGAGACAGAAGGAAAGAUACUUGCUCAGCUGUAUCUAAGUAAGUUCAUAGGAGUUUCAUGGUCUGAAAAAUCUGUGACAGUGGAAUUUCUACUAAGAAGCUUAAAAAAGUUUCACCUUCUCCUUGGACACUUCAGAAUAAGGCCUUCUUAGAAUAUAAUGCAUUAUAUCACAAAUAUACUUUUAUAUAAAAUAUUUGGGACCAAAACAAGAGUAAAGAACCAGGAUCCGAAAGGGUGAAUGCCUACUAAAUAUCUUUGAUUAUCUAAAGCUGUUUAAAAGCUAUUAGAUUGGCACCUGGAACCCCAAAAUAUCCACUUUUCACUGGGAAGGAGUGGCUGUGCCUCUUCAAUCAUCCCCUAAAUGCAAAGAAGUUUGACCCCCACGCAAUGGAUAAAAGUCACCCAAAAAAUGAACAAAAGAGGUGUUUGGAAAAACCAGAACACCAUUCAUCCCAGCUAACGACUUGUUCAUUAUGAGUGAUGAUGGAUAAAGACUUCUCAUGCUGAGAUGAAAUCAAGAUUUAUAUGCAUUGUUUCCUCUCCCAACUUGUGGGAAGAUCAUCAUCAUUUAAUUCUAUCUCUGCGGCCAGUGAUGGGCAUCCAGAGAGCUGGUUAUCAAACGGCGCAGUCAGCUGGCAAAAGCCGAAACGUGCAGUUGGCACAUCUGGACGGAGCCGCCACAGCCGAGGGUGAACAAUGACUCCUGGCAAGCAUCCAAAUUGCUUGCAGACGCUAGCAGGUCUCAUCUACAACCGCCCCUACCAGCAUCUCUCUCUCUCUCUCUUUUUUAUGAGAAUCAGAUUUUCAUUGCUCCAUUCAAUUGCUCUCCUCUGCCAUUUUUUACAGCUCUUAUCGUUCCCCUGGAAUAUGGCCUUGAGACAGCUCAUCCGUGUCCUUCACUGUGUUAUCUCUUCUAACUUUUAUUAAAACUUCAGCUUUCAUCUGAAGAUAGCUAAUUAAAUCUGGAACAGAUUAUAUGCCUCCCCUUAAAAAGAGCACAAAACUAUUUUCUUCAACCCCAGCAAUGCUUUUUUUCCUUUCCAAAAGGUAAAAUCAAAGGUGUUUAAGAAGUCUCUUUAUUUACAGAGCUAAGAUAUUCAACACGUCAUAUAUGAGUUGAUUUAUAUUAAAGUUGUCUGUGAUAUGACAAAUCUUUGAGCUAUUUCUCAAGAUGAUUAUUUCUCAAUCCUGGUAUAUAUCCUUUAAAUAUCACAGCUAAUACUAUAAGCAUAUUUUCUAUAUAAAGUUGGGUAAUGAGGAGUUAAGUUAUUAGUGCACAUCAAGUGAUUUGUCUUUUUAUUCGUCUUUUUUUUUUAAAGGUUGCCCUCAUUUGAUAAGGAUGAAGAGAAAUUUUUCUUUUCUUCCCCAUACCACAAAUAUUAGUAACUAAAAGUUCUCCCAUGGGAAAUUAUGUGAAAACAUGAAAUUAAUAGCAGUGAUUCAAGUUUAGGACUGAUUCGGUUUUCAAGACAGCUUUAUAUCAACUGAUCAUCAGCACAAGUAGCUCUGUCUGAGUCUACCACAAAUUAUUAAUGAAGGAACUUCCACAAUUGAUAUGAAUACAUUCUUCUCACAUAUGCCGCUGACCCAGUCCCUUUCUGAGGCCGAGGGGCAGUGUACAAUCACCUUUUCUUGCAUAGAUCAGCUAACCAAACCUUCUAGCAAUGACAUCUGAAAGAAUCUAGCCAGCCAUCACACACACACACCCCCUAUGCCCUUUUAAUAAGGGUUAAGCUUCUACUACUGUGAGAAUAUGAUUUAACUAUCCCACCUGAAACUUUCUGGGAUCCUUUUCUUCGCUUCACUGCCUUCAGUAAGAUUUCCUUCAUGGUAACCUUUGUGUUGUCCACCUGAAUAAGGGAGAAUCCAUGAGCAGCAUUUCUGUAGGAAAAGACAAAUAUUAAAUCAUCACCAACAUUCAUCCAGAGAGAUGUUACUGCAAUCUUCACUGUGUUUAAGCAAGUUUUUUUUGUUGUUGUUUGUUUUGUUUUGUUUUUGAAAUGGAGUCUCGCUCUGUCACCCAGGCUGGAGUGCAGUGGUGCAAUCUCGGCUCACUGCAAGAUCCGCCUCCUGGGUUCACACCAUUCUCCUGCCUCAGCCUCCCAAGUAGCUGGGACUACAGGCGCCCGCCACUACAUCCGGCUAAUUUUUUGUAUUUUUUUUUUUUUUUAGUAGAGACAGGGUUUCACCAUGUUAGCCAGGAUGGUCUCGAUCUAUUGACCUCGUGAUCUGCCCGCCUCGGCCUCCCAAAGUGCUGGGAUUACAGGCAUGAGCCACCGCGCCCGGCCGUGUUUAAGCAAGUUUUAAAAAUACAUAAAUCCAUUGUGGCACAAUGUAAUAUGUAUCACCAUGCUACACCUGCGGACGCUUCCGAGCGGCUGCCAUGUCUGUGCAGUCAGGAAUGAUAAGUGAACCACCCGUGAAUGUUAACGAUAGUGAUCAUUCUGAGACCACAAGGCAAUAGCAUAUAACAGAAGGAAAGGCUUCAAGCUAAUGACACCCUUUAAUAAAGGUCUGGUCACUUGGGGUAUACUGUGGAUUUAUCAUCAAGAAGAAAAAGUUUGCUGAGCUAGAAGCGGUGGCUGAAGCCUAUAAUCCCAGCACUUUGGGAAGCUGAGGUCAGCAGAUCACUUGAGUCCAGGAGUUUGAGACCAGCCUGGGCAACACAGCAACACUCUAUCUCUACAAAAAAUACAAAAAGUAUUUGGGCAUGGUGGUGCAUGCCUGUAGUCCCAGCUACUUGGGAGGCUGAGGUGGGACGAUUGCUCGAGCCUGGGAGGCAGAGGUUGCAGUGAGCCAAGAUGAUGUCACUGCACUCCAGCCUGGGUGACAGAGCAAUACCCUAUCUCAAAAAAAAAGUUUGCCAACCCUAGGAUAACGUGGCGAGAUUUGGGGGGUUAUGUGUUCCAGCAGCUAGAGUUAUUUAACAUAACUAACAAACUUAGUAAAAGUCAAAUGGCAUUACUGCAAGCUGCAUACAGAACUUGUUUGCUGAACAGAGAAAAAUGGUGACAGAAUUCAGUGGGCACAAAGAUCUCUAUGAACAGUCUUGCUGGUCUCUGAAAAAUCUGUGCUGUUUGGUGCCAAGUCACACUAUACACAAGUAUCAGUCAGGCAGAGCCCACUUAUGUAUAGACCAAGCAACAGAUAAAGUAGAGUGACCAAUCUGGUUUACCUAGGAUGGAGGAAGGGGUUGGAGGUGAGCAUCAGGGAGUGCUCAUAGAUUCAGGACUUUCAGUUUUGAAACAGGGAGAGUCCUGGACAAACCAUCACAAACUGAUCAUACUAACAGAAAGCGUGGUGGGCCAAACGUAAAGUAGAGUUUUCUAGGUUAGGAGCGGUGGCUCAUGCCUGUAAUCCUAACACUUUGGGAGGCCGAGGCAGGAGGACUGCUUGAGCUCAGGAGUUCAGGACCAGCCUGGGCAACACAGUGAGACCUUGUCUCUACUAAAAAUAGAGUUAGUUGGGCAUGGUGACACAUGCCUGUAGUUCCAGCUACUUGGGAGGCUGAGGCAGGAGGGUCCUUUGAGCCCAGGAGUUUGGGGCUGCAGUGAGCCAUGAUCACAUCACUGCACUCCAGACUAGGCCACACAGCAAGACACUUAUCAAAAAAAAAAAAAAAAAAAAAAAGCAUUUUCUAGUAAAGAACAUUUAAAAUUUAUGUGUUUGUGUGGGGGGACACAUUAUAAAUCAAUUGGCCCACUAAAAUAAUGGACGAGUAGUUAAAAAUACACUGUUUAAAAGGAUGUUAAUCGUGAUGUCUCAUAUGAAAAUCAAAAGACUCAAGUUGACAAGUAAAACAUUUAACACCCAAUUAAACCCAACAUCAGCAAUGUUUAAUUUCAGCAAAACAUCAUCUGUUACAUUAAAGUUGUUAAUUUGUAUUUUAUUAACGUUAUAAUUUUAUCUGUAUUUAGUUUGUAAUUUUGUUUAGGUUGUGUAAAAACACUGAAUUUAUAGCUAAACAUUACAGAACUUUGUAUUUGCAUGUAUCUAAGUAGCAUUAUUAAAAAACUCAUUUGGAUAAACAUUGAGACUUUAGGAGAAUUUAUUUCCCUUUAAAAGAGUUCUGUACAUAACUUACAUUUAAGAAACUCCCUCAUGACAAUUCCAUGAGAUAGUUACUGUUACCCAAAUUUUAAAGAUGAAGAAACUGAGACUUAACAAAGGUAAGUAAAAUUGUCUAAGGUCAUGCAUGUAGCAAGAUACUAUUGAAGCUGAAACAUGAACCCAGGUUUGCCUAAAUUCAAAGUCUGUGCUGCCGCACUUAGAGGGAAAGAUGGUACUGGAGCCCCGGGAAUAGCCGGUGUGAGGGCCUCUAAAGGUCAGAAGGCGACAUGGGCUUCCUGGUAUUUGAAAGGCAGGAACGGGUGUAAAAAAGGGGAAGAGGUCUUAGAAAGCAAGGUGGGACACACUGCUGGGUCAGGUGUCCUCCUGGCAGCCCACAGACACCUGAAGUUUCAGUCAUUCCUUCUCCAUGAAGCCCUGUGCUGGGUGCUCAGGAUACAGAGAGACAAUAAGACUGUGCCUUCCUAGUCUUCAAGAAGUUAAUGGUCUUGCUACUAACUCAGAGGAUGUGUGCUCAUAAGAGGACUCAUUUGAAAGUAUGUAGAUCCUCGAUGUUUACCCACUGCCCAUGUUCACUGAAAGUUAUUCCAAUUCAGCUUUUUCAGUCCAGCUGAGCAAUGUCCACCUAAACACUACCCCUCCUCUGCUAUAAAACAAAGUCGGAGAAGAAAAAUGUAGAAGUGGCAGAGAUCUACUCAGUAACCCAUUCAAGAAAUACGUGUGACAGAUCUAUCACAGUAAUGGAGUGAUGGUGAGUAUUGUGGGCACAGAUAAUUCAGUUCUUGCUCUCCAAGGGUUGUUUAUUAAUAGUAACAAUAACAGCAGCUAACACUAAGAUGAUGCGUACAUAUGCUAAACACUGUUCUAAGUGCUUCAGAUCUAUUAACUCAUUUAAUCCUCAUAACUGAUCUGUGAGGUAGGUAUUAUUAUCUCCAUUUCACUGAGCCACAGAAAAGUUAAAUAUUCAUCCAGGACCACACACACUAGUAAGGGCAAGGCUAGGAUCGGCAUCCAAGCGAUCUGGCUCACAGCCCACCAUGCUGUCACCUACUGCACUAUAGCAGUGGCUGAAUGUCAGCCUUAAGACAGUGAGAUUCACAGGUUAAACCAACACCAGAUUCCCCAGCCUCAAUCUUUCAGCAGAGGGUUGGAAAGGGCAUGGACUUUAAAGUCAGGGAUGGCGUCAAAUCCAGGCCUAAGAACAAUAUUGCUCACCCUCAGGUUCCACGCCUCUAAAUUGUUCAUAAAAACUGGGCUAUUUUGGGAUUAAGUGAGAUAGCAUAUGCAUAGUUGGCCCUUAGUAAGUAUUAGUUCACUCCCUAUGUCAAACCUACUUGCCUCUUUCUGUUUCAGCUUAGUGUCUUCCCAGCCACUUCUUGUCCCUCCUCUACUGGGAGACAAAUGGAAGGAGGAAAGGGGGGAAAUGACGAGGAGGAGUAGUUACGGCUUUAUUUAUUUUGCUGGGAUUUCCUUCUCUGAAACUUUAGACACAUCCCUACAGACUCCUGAAGGUCUGCUCUGUUCUGCAUCUGUAGGAGAAGCUUUACUAACUUAGAAUAUAGACCAGAAAGGCGAGUAAGAGGUUGCUGAACCAAGAAAAUACACACAGGGCAAACGGUCAGUAAUCUGUACUAUUUCAUCAGACGACUGAGAAAAAGAAAAUUUAUUGACACUUUUGUUCUUAAUGCUCACAUAUAAAGAUUUCACUUUACCUCGUGUUUUCAGAAACACUCCAGACACAUCAAAUAAACUCUCUUGAAUUUUAAAAUAGAAAAAGGAUUGACUGGGCUAUGUGUGUGUCUGGGAGUGGGAACACAGGGAUGGGAGUAAUUCAGGAUCAAAAAACAGAGUAUUAAGUUUAAAGCAGUUGUUACUCUCUGCCUUCCCCCUCCUUCCUAUUCUCCAGAAGGCAGGGUUCAUAGUGAAACACUGUGUAGUCUUAGAUGCCCCUCCUGGAAAGGCAUAUGAAUCCUAGCCCCACUCCACUCUACUGAAAACUCAGUGAUUUAAAGCCUCUUGCUUUAAAAAAGGACUUCUGGUUCAAAAGACUGCUAUGAUCAUGUGUUAACAUUCAUGUAGAAAAAGUUCUAGUCAUAUUAAUAAUCAAUAAAAAUGCAAGUAAAAACUAUCGAAAUGCCACUGUGUAUAUCUUUUAGAGUAGAAAAAAAAACUUCUAAUACCUUGUAAUGGUAAAACUAUAAAAAUGAUUUUAGGAAUUCUGUUGGUAACAUUGUAAAUUAGGACAUCUUUCAGAGGGCUAUUGUCAAUAAAAAGUGAGUCUAAAGAUGUUUUUACUCUGACCAAUAAUCCUACUUACAAGGCAUGAUCCUAAGGAAGUUGUUCAACAGAAUAAAAGGUAUAUAGAUAAUGACCAUCAUCAUCAAAUUACUUAUUAAAACCACACAAGGAAGCAAUCUAAAUAUUCUGUGAUCGGCUUCCACUACAACCCAUACACUUUUCUUUUAUACUGCUUAUCACAUUUUAAUUAUUUGACAACUGUCUCACUACUAGAUAGUAAGCUCCAUGAGGGUAGUGCUGUCUCUGCCUAGAUCUCUGGCACAUAAAUACAGACUGUAGGAAUUAAGAACAAAUACUGAAACGUUUAUAAUUUAUUAUUUUUAGAUGGAGUCUCACUUUGUCGCCCAGGCUGGAGUGCAAUGGCGCGAUCUCAGCUAACUGCUACCUCCGCCUCCCGGGUUCCAGCGAUUCUCCUGCCUCAGACUCCCGAGUAGCUGGGAUUACAGGUGCCCACCACUGCAUCCGGUUAAUUUUUGUAUUUUUAGUAGAGACGGGGUUUCACCAUGUUGGCCAAGCUGGUUUCGAACUCUUGACCCUCCUCGGCCUCCCAAAUCCUGGCCUGCCUCGGUCUCCCAAAGUGCUGGGAUUACAGGCGUGAGCCACUGCGCCUGACCUAAUUUAAUGUCAAGUAAAAAUAACACAAAAAUAUGUGUGCUACAAGUGAAACUGAGUAACAUAUACACACGAUUAUUAUACAAGAUUAAAAAUAGUUAAGAUGGAGGCAUCAUUGGCCAACUUUUCAAUUAUUUUAAAUAUCCUUUAAAGUUAUUUUAGUACCUCUGAAAUGAAAAAGCAGGAAAAAAUUUGCUGUUAUUUACACCAAACUUGACCUUGUAGUAGGGAUGAAACGGCCACCAUGAAAGCCUGAGGGCCCACUCCCCAGCUUACCCCCAGGUACUCAGUUAUUCUUUCUUUGCUCAAGGGUAGAAAGAGCCAAAAUACUCAUAUAUCAUAUGUAGCAUAACCCUAUUUUCUGUAACAAUCUCAAACAAAGGCAGUAUGUUGAGAGAGACAGGGAAAUGUCUUCUAAAGCAAUCCCUUUUGAGCAGUGAAUUUGCUGGUUACUAACAGCAGGGGGUGCCAAAGGGAUCGCUAUUGUUCCCAGGAGACAGCCAUGAGAAGGACUGCUGAGGCCUAGGUUGAAAAAAAGCUUAGGUUUGAGAGUAAAAUCCAAAUGCAGCAGGUUUUCCCUUAACAACUGGGACAUGUGGAUAAAACUCAGGAGCUCAUAAACUUGAAUGGAUAAAAACUACAUUUUAAUUUUCACUAACUUCUAAUAUUUUGCAUUUCCUUGAUUUAUAAGUGUAGGCAAACAAUCACAGCAGAAUCACAGUGCCAGUGACUCUGUCAUGAACAGAAGUCAUAGCUAACACUACAGCACAUUACAGCUGUUGCAGAUUUCUCAAAUACCAUUUAUGCUCAUCACCGCUUUGAAACAACAGGCUUCAGGAGUUACUGUUAGGUAUACAGCUGGAUAUUGUUUAAUCUACUAGUAAAGCCACACAUAUUACUAUAUCAUGAAUUUGUUCAAUAAUCUGAUAACUUUAAAUAACAGAAUACUUUUAUAUUCCAG